This 441-nucleotide long non-coding RNA is filed under the name Nicotiana benthamiana. RNAcentral describes it as "long non-coding RNA (NBEN_LNC002851)". The record is from RNAcentral. Lineage: Eukaryota; Viridiplantae; Streptophyta; Magnoliopsida; Solanales; Solanaceae.
CCCCUUCACCUUCUCCCCCACCACCUUAUUACUACAAGUCUCCACCACCACCUGCUAAGUCACCUCCUCCUCCAUACUACUACUCCUCCCCUCCGCCACCCGUUAAGUCACCUCCUCCACCUUACUACUAUUCCUCCCCUCCACCACCAGUCAAGUCACCUCCUCCACCUUACUAUUACUCCUCCCCUCCACCACCCGUUAAGUCACCUCCUCCUCCGUACUAUUAUUCUUCCCCUCCACCACCAGUUAAGUCGCCUCCUCCACCUUACUACUACUCCUCUCCUCCACCACCAGUUAAGUCACCUCCCUCACCAUACUAUUACACUUCACCACCACCCCCAACUCCUUACUAUCCUCCUCAUCAUUCCUUGAUCGUUAAGGUUGUUGGAAAAGUCUACUGCUACAGAUGUUAUGACUGGAAAUACCCAAAGAACUCCCACA